This is a small nucleolar RNA of Rattus norvegicus (Norway rat), 124 nucleotides long. Ensembl annotates it as small nucleolar RNA SNORA17. Lineage: Eukaryota; Metazoa; Chordata; Mammalia; Rodentia; Muridae. The record is from Ensembl.
CCUACCCCUUGAGGUGUUGCCUGUGUGGAUGCUAUGUCACACGUGCAUCAUUAAGUGGCAGAGAGGAGAGGGGCUGUGUCUACAGGGUUACCUGCUUGGAUUCCUGAUUUUGAGGACUUUCAGC